This 68-nucleotide transfer RNA is filed under the name Rhacophorus jarujini. Its description in RNAcentral is "tRNA-Gly". Lineage: Eukaryota; Metazoa; Chordata; Amphibia; Anura; Rhacophoridae. The record is from RNAcentral.
AUUUUCUUAGUAUACAAGUACAGGUGACUUCCAAUCACCAAGAUCUGGUUGCAACCCAGAAGAAAAUA